Non-coding RNA from Rattus norvegicus (Norway rat), 2761 nucleotides. Lineage: Eukaryota; Metazoa; Chordata; Mammalia; Rodentia; Muridae. The record is from RefSeq and is a predicted model, not a curated record.
CAUCUCUAGAAAGGGGCAGAAAUGUGGAAGACUCACAGUUAGAGAGGGCUGUGCUCUUAAUGUUUUCUUUGUGGGUCCGCCACACUUUUGAGGCACUCACCCCAUGUCAGCACCAGGGGGCAUCUCCUCAAGUGACACAGAGAGGUGCCUGCAGCCAGUGCUGAAGCCAGACACCGGCCACAAGGCUGUUUCUACUUGCUAAACCCAAGGUUCAACCAUUCCGCUAACAGUAGUGUCAAGAACUCAUUGCUCAAGAUUAGCCAGAAUAUUUGGGGAAAGUAUUACCAUCUAUAUAUAAAGAACAUGUCCAGAUCUGGGCAGACGCUAAGAGGAAGAAGGUAAGGAGGCUUAUGGGAAUGUAAUGGAAACGAUGCCUUCAGCUGUAAACCACAAGUUGUUAGCUUCUGUACCAGUUUAGACAGGAGAGAAGGUGCUGGCCAUGACAUUUUUUAAAGAGAAAAACAGAAGAUGAACACCAAACCAGGCCCUAUCACAAACACCUGGAUCUGGAGGUCGGAACACAAAACUCUUGGCUACAGGACAUCUUCAUGACAUCACCAACAUCUCCGUGAAGGAGACAGGAUUCACGCCAACACUACAGUUUCCCAUAAGCAUCAUCUACAGCGACAAUAGAAUGCCUCGUUUAUGCUCGAGUUGACUGUCCCCUAAAUGCAAAUGCUAUUCAUCGGGUCUAUUCAGCAACAAUCUCUCUCACGGUGUCUGACGCCUCCUGUGGAGGAGAAGCCAUGGCAGGAAGAUUGUAGGAUGGGGCAUGUGUGGCGCAAGGCAAGUAAAGGACCAUAAACUAACACCAUAUCUUAACCUAGCUAAGGGGCUAAGGUCACAGUGACCCUCAAGCUUACAGAGCUGAGAGGCAGAAUGGACAAUGAUGAGCAAGCUGGAAAGAAGACCGGCAUGGUGGCAAAUGAAAGAGAGCAACAGCAGUGUGCCACUUAAUCUCUUGUCAACUUGACAUAAAUGGGGCUCAUCUACCCAAUGGUGUUCAAAACCUCCGAUAGGAAGAUACGUCCAUCCCAUAGGCUCUGACUGUGGGAUGAGCAUGGAGGGCAAACCAGCCAGCAGCCUUCCUCUGUGGCCUCUGCUUCAUAUCCCACCUCUUUAAGGCCCCCGCUUUAGCUACGGUCCUGAUUUCCCUCUGUGGAAGGACCGGAAGCUAUAAGAUGAAACAAGGCCUUUUCUCCCCAAGAUACUUUGGGUCACGAUUGUCAUCACAGCAAUAGACAGCAAACCAGGACAGGGGUGAUCUGGUUAAAGUAAACUAUAUGCACCCCUGAAAAUGUCAGGAAGAAAGCCAUUGUUUUGUAAAGAGUAAUAUAUUCUAAUAGAAACAUCAAAAAGAAGAUAUGGUGAAAAGGGCCGAGACAGGUAAAGAAGAAAAUCUAAGAGAAGGCUUCCGGCGCUGUCAAAGGGUAGCAUGUCUCUCUCAAAAGGGAGAAUGGUCCAAAGGAAUGUGGCGUUUGUGGGGGCCGGUCUACACAGGCAGAGGCUGAGCACGCAGCUCACUGCUUUUGUUGAGUUUAACCAGCCCCAAGUUUAAAAGCCCAUUCAGGGUUGCAGAGAGGACUUCUGGUAUCUGCGGACGCUCAGCGGUGAAGACGCGAUGAUUCCAGCAGCACAGCCUCCUUGCCAUGGCCUUCCUGAGCUACGGGAGUGCCUCCUGGACAAAAUCAUCCUCUCACAGGAGUCACGACUCUGUGAAUGCGGACACCAACAGCCUCCUGGGAGCCAGACACAACCUGCAGUAACAGGCAACCUGGGCAGAGACCGGGACAACCUAAGUUGUCUGGUGAGUACUGGAAUUAAACUGCCCAGCCGUGGACGGGAAGAGAGAGAACAAGACAUGUUGGACGCCGCCAUACAAUUAGAGUGACCGUUAAGCCAAGCUAUUUUACCAUAUUCUCCAGAAAUCCCAUGUAGGCUGAAAAGAGAAGGAAAAAACAAAUAAGUAAAGUCAAUGUGUGUUUCUGCGUCUGGUGGGCCAAGAAAAGCCUCAGAGCAUUUUGAAAACAGGAAUGGAUCUUAGAUAUUGUCAGAAAUGUUUCACUCGUGAGGAAGUGGCUGACUAGACAUUUUGGGCAAAGUCCUUUUCUGAUGGCCCACUCUAAGCCCAGCUUCUUGUUCAGUGGAUUUUGAAUGGAUCUCCCGUCAAGGUCCGGCAUGCAGGCAGCAUGUAGUUGCUCUGUGUCUCCUGUCGCUUAACUCUGGCAGUUUAAGAUGUGUCAGAGAAAGGGGAGCAAGCAGUGCCAUAAGAGCUGGGAAAGAAGGGGUGCAUUUUGACAGAUGAGAGUCGUGUCUUGAAAAUCCCAAGGGGCCAAAGACCAAGAAUCCACGAGGGCAGCCAGAGGAAUAUGUACUCAAAGGCCAGGUCAGAGAGUGACCGGAAAGACCUUAAACACGCAAGAUGUUCAAAAUACUUCGGAUUAAACUGACCAAGAAAGAAAGAGGACAAGAGAGGAGAUGAGACAUGAUUCCAGACCUAGAGCCAUCCCAGUCAGUUGGACCUUGCUAUAGCAUGUGGGUAAACCAGAGAAGGGCAAGUUCAACCAGGACCUGGAGAUUCUGCCCCUCAGAGUCUGCUCCCAAUAAGCGGGCUUUCCCACUCGCAGACCCCCACGAAGCAGAAUGAGAGCCAGACAGCCGCCCACACUGAAGUUGGCUGUCAGAGUGGUGGCUUGUUUUUAUUAAAUGGACUGCGUCAGCUGACUGAUCGUCCACUAUCAAAAAGAAAGUUGUGAAAGAA